GAUGAACGCUAGCGGCAGGCCUAACACAUGCAAGUCGAGGGAGAAGCCCUUUCGGGGGCAGAAACCGGCGCACGGGUGCGUAACGCGUAUGCAACCUACCUUUCACAGGGGGAUAGCCCGAAGAAAUUUGGAUUAAUACCCCAUAAUAUUGUUGGAUGGCAUCAUCUGGCAAUUAAAGCUACGACGGUGGAAGAUGGGCAUGCGUCCUAUUAGCUAGUUGGAGUGGUAACGGCACCCCAAGGCUACGAUAGGUAGGGGUCCUGAGAGGGAGAUCCCCCACACUGGUACUGAGACAGGGACCAGACUCCUACGGGAGGCAGCAGUGAGGAAUAUUGGUCAAUGGUCGGAAGACUGAACCAGCCAUGCCGCGUGCAGGAAGAAUGCCUUAUGGGUUGUAAACUGCUUUUAUAUGGGAAGAAUAAGGCGUACGUGUACG
Molecule: ribosomal RNA, 436 nt
Filed under: Capnocytophaga gingivalis
Lineage: Bacteria; Pseudomonadati; Bacteroidota; Flavobacteriia; Flavobacteriales; Flavobacteriaceae
Description: bacterial SSU rRNA
Rfam family: Bacterial small subunit ribosomal RNA
Source: RNAcentral